Non-coding RNA from Nicotiana tabacum (common tobacco), 2287 nucleotides. The record is from RefSeq and is a predicted model, not a curated record. NCBI's taxonomy places the organism in Eukaryota, Viridiplantae, Streptophyta, Magnoliopsida, Solanales, Solanaceae.
CCCAAACCCUAUUAGAUAAAACCAUCGAUUUUCAGUAGAUUUUCGUUCGUGCGAAGGUUAUACUGUGAACAUCGGCUUGAAUUGUCGCUCUAUUUCAUCUAGUUCUUGCUGGGUAAAGUUGAUAUAAUGUCAGCUGAAGAAUAUAUUCUUGUCCGUUUUUACCAAGGUGGUACUUUUAUCAAAGAUUAUGUCGCCAAAUACGUUGGUGAGAGUGAGGCAAAAGAGUAUUCAAUAGAUAAAGACCACUUUUCAUUGGUUGAAUUUUUGUAUUAUACAAGGCAACUGGGUAUGUUAUUAUUGGUUUUUUUUAAUGUCUUUAACUCUAGGUCAAAAAAGUUAUACUGGUUAAAAAUGAUGAACAAUUAUAUAAUAUUGUCUGCUACUGUAAAGAGGGGGUCCUGAACAUAUUUGUUAAUCAUGUUAUUGAAGAACCACCUUUGGAGAUGGUCCUUAUUGCUCUUAUUUGUGGGCCCGAGGUGGUUGAAGCCACUAAUAAUGAGUCUAGGGCAACUUUAGAUGGUGGCUUAGGUGAUAUAAAUGCAGAACAACAGUAUGGUAAUGAAAUUGUGGAGGUUGUAGUAGACAAAGUUAUUGAAAACACUAAUGUAGAUGGUGCUGAAAAUUCAGAGCUAGAUUUGUCAGAUUUGCUUAGUAGUGACACUGAUUUAGAUGAUAUACUUGAGGGAGAUGAUCGAGAAUUAGAUGGGGAGUAAAGAGCUAUAAGAACAUAAAAAGAAGAAAUAAUUUGCAGAAAGAAAAGGGGAAACAAAGGCUGAAGAAGAAGAGGAUGUCACCUAUUACAACAGAGGAGGUUGAGCUGGGAGAAGCUAGAGCAGACAAAGGUUUUGAUAAAAUUGAUAGGCCAAGUAAGAAAUAUAAAUAUACUAGUAAAUUAGGGGGGAUGAGGAUUACUAUGAUAGUAGUGACAAAGGAAGUGAUGACAGUCAAGAUGAGCUAGAUAUGCUUGCAGAACCUGGUGUUGACUUACCAGCUAGAAGAAGUAGUAAGAAGCUCAGGUUUGACCCAGAAUGUUGGCUUGCUAUUUUUGAACUUGGUAUGGUCUUUGAAGGUGUUGAAAAAUUUAGGAAGGUUGUUCAAUCCUAUGUUGUUGAGAACAAAGUGCAGCUUACACUUAGGCCUAAUAAAAAAUAUAGAGCUAAAGUUAAGUGCAAAAGUAAGUAUUUGUGCAAAUGGGAGCUAUAUGCAAGUAGAGAUAGAGAUUCUGGAGAUUUCAUAGUGAAGAAAUACCAUCCAUGGCAUAAGUAUACUAAUAAAAAUAAAAAUAAGUUGUGCACUUCUAAAUACAUUACAAGAAAAUUCAAGGAUAUGAUAGUAUCUCAGCCAAACAUUAAACUAUGGGAGAUUCAAAAAUGGGUUAGACAGAAGCUUGGUUUAUAUGUUGGGAGGACUAUGGCAUACAGGGUUGAGGCAAUUGUAACGAAAGAUUUUAUGGGGGACUGGAAGCUGGAAUUUUCCAGAUUGGCUGAUUAUGCUGGUAUGAUUAGGAGGACAAAUCCAGGGAGUUCUUGCUGGAUUAAAACUGACAGGGACAGUGUACCAGGGAAGAACAUGUUUGUUUACUUUUAUGUCUAUUUUGAUUCCCUUAAAAGGGGUUGGUUAGAAGGUUGCAGAAAAAUUAUUGGUUUUGAUGGAUGCUUAUUGAAAGGGUUGUGUAAAGGUAAGUUAUUAGUAGUUGUUGGCAAAAAUGGGAACAAUCAGAUAUUUUUAAUAGCAUGGACAAUUGUGGACCAAGAGACAAAAUACUUGGACAUGGUUCAUUCAACACCUGAGUGCUGACUUGGAGUUAGGAGAUGGUUUCAACUUAACAGUAAUGUCAGACAGUCAAAAGAGCAUAAGAUAUGUGCUAGACAUAUAUGGUUCAACUGGGAAAAGAAAUGGAAAGGUGAAGAAAGAAGAAUACAAUUAUGGAGACGUGCCAAGUCUUUCUUUGUAGUACAGUUCAAGGAUGAGCUUGCAAGAUUGGAAAUGUUGGGGAGAAACAUAUGUGAGGAUGUUCUGGAUUACAACACAGAAGUAUGGCCCCGUAACCCUUCUGAGAGGGUGAUAACACCUGGUACAUAUAGGGUGAUAGCACCUGCCAAGAAUAUGAGGCCUUCCAGCCAAGAUACGGAGGGAGAAAACAAUUAAGUUUCUUUAGAUUUCUUUAUCUAUAUUGUAGUGGUUGUUAAGUCCUUCUGUUGUUGACAUUGUUGGUGUUUUUUAGGAUUGCAACUACAUAUUGUAACUGUAAAUAAUUAAGCUAUGUUUUUUGUGAUUGCAAACUUAA